Molecule: long non-coding RNA, 460 nt
Filed under: Hordeum vulgare
Lineage: Eukaryota; Viridiplantae; Streptophyta; Magnoliopsida; Poales; Poaceae
Description: long non-coding RNA (HVUL_LNC006943)
Source: RNAcentral
GGGAACCCUGCGCAUAUUGUUUGGGGCCGUAGAGGAAACCUCGGCCGGACUUCCUUGCGGGUUUAGUCUCAAAUAGGCGGUAAACCUGGACUAGGGUCUUGUGUGGUUAACGGUCGUGGCCGACAGCCACGCCAGUGCUUCCGCUUGAAGGUUACCGAGAUGCAUGACGUGCAUAUGGUGCUAAGUGGUGAGAGCAUGUGUGAAUAAGUAUACCCAUGCAGGGUGAUUUAAUCUGUUCGAAUAGCCGCGUCCUCGGAUAUGGACUACUUGGAAACAUUACGUAGUACAUAGACAACUUAAAUGGAUACUCUAAAACAUGCAAGAUAAGUGUGAGUGCUAUGGAAGGCUUUCUCGUAGGGAGACGAGAGUGGAUCCAUAAUGGUGUAUUACACUGGUGAAUAUGUGGACUCGUGUGCGCUAUCCCACCUCAAAGAAAGAACUUGUAGUCGUAGUACAUGUU